AGUAUAAGGGGUUCUGGAAACCUAAGAUUUUUGGCGGUUUUUUAGUCUAGUCAGAGGAACCUGCUGUUUAAUGGAUAGUCCUCCGUUGAUUUUACUUUUUUUUUAAAUACCGCCGUCGACGACAGGUCAAGGUUUAGUUUAUGAGAGAGGUUGAAAAUGGAUUUGAAUGUUGAUAGAGGAGAAUUGAGCUCUAAAAAAUGU
This 201-nucleotide ribosomal RNA is filed under the name Charinus neocaledonicus. RNAcentral describes it as "partial small subunit ribosomal RNA". The record is from RNAcentral. Lineage: Eukaryota; Metazoa; Arthropoda; Arachnida; Amblypygi; Charinidae.